Molecule: ribosomal RNA, 406 nt
Filed under: uncultured bacterium
Lineage: Bacteria
Description: bacterial SSU rRNA
Rfam family: Bacterial small subunit ribosomal RNA
Source: RNAcentral
UGGGGAAUAUUGGGCAAUGGGGGAAACCCUGACCCAGCAACGCCGCGUGAAGGACGAAGGCCUUCGGGUUGUAAACUUCUUUGAUCAGGGACGAAACAAAUGACGGUACCUGAGGAACAAGCCACGGCUAACUACGUGCCAGCGGCCGCGGUAAUACGUAGGUGGCAAGCGUUAUCCGGAUUUACUGGGUGUAAAGGGCGUGUAGGCGGUCUUGCAAGUCGGAAGUGAAACUCCCGGGCUUAACCCGGGCGCUGCUCCCGAAACUGCGAGACUUGAGUACUGGAGAGGAUAGUGGAAUUCCUAGUGUAGCGGUAAAAUGCGUAGAUAUUAGGAGGAACACCAGUGGCGAAGGCGGCUAUCUGGACAGUAACUGACGCUGAGGCGCGAAAGCGUGGGGAACAAACAG